Molecule: ribosomal RNA, 365 nt
Filed under: Escherichia coli
Lineage: Bacteria; Pseudomonadati; Pseudomonadota; Gammaproteobacteria; Enterobacterales; Enterobacteriaceae
Description: bacterial SSU rRNA
Rfam family: Bacterial small subunit ribosomal RNA
Source: RNAcentral
ACGAGUGGCGGACGGGUGAGUAAUGUCUGGGAAACUGCCUGAUGGAGGGGGAUAACUACUGGAAACGGUAGCUAAUACCGCAUAACGUCGCAAGACCAAAGAGGGGGACCUUAGGGCCUCUUGCCAUCGGAUGUGCCCAGAUGGGAUUAGCUAGUAGGUGGGGUAAAGGCUCACCUAGGCGACGAUCCCUAGCUGGUCUGAGAGGAUGACCAGCCACACUGGAACUGAGACACGGUCCAGACUCCUACGGGAGGCAGCAGUGGGGAAUAUUGCACAAUGGGCGCAAGCCUGAUGCAGCCAUGCCGCGUGUAUGAAGAAGGCCUUCGGGUUGUAAAGUACUUUCAGCGGGGAGGAAGGGAGUAAAG